Long non-coding RNA from Oncorhynchus tshawytscha (Chinook salmon), 425 nucleotides. NCBI's taxonomy places the organism in Eukaryota, Metazoa, Chordata, Actinopteri, Salmoniformes, Salmonidae. The record is from Ensembl.
AAUCACUCGGUGUCUGUUUCUCCAGAGGUUUAUCCAAUCACUCGGUGUCUGUUUCUCCAGAGGUUUAUCCAAUCACUCAGUAUCUGUUUCUCCAGAGGUUUAUCCAAUCACUCAGUAUCUGUUUCUCCAGAGGUUUAUCCAAUCACUCAGUAUCUGUUUCUCCAGAGGUUUAUCCAAUCACUCAGUAUCUGUUUCUCCAGAGGUUUAUCCAAUCACUCAGUGUCUGUUUCUCCUACUAGAAGUUUGUACUAUGAUUUACUGAAGAGAAGGUUUGAGACAAAACAACUUAUAACACCACUGACGCUGUUUAUCCACUCUGGUUAGGAGGUGGAUGUAUUCAGCACGAGGAGUGUGGAGGGUAGUUGUCUCAGUAUGUCUCGUUCAGAAGUCAGAGAUCAAGACCCAAUACCACUGAUGCUGUUUAU